UACAGAGGGUGCGAGCGUUAAUCGGAAUUACUGGGCGUAAAGCGCGCGUAGACGGUUUUGUAAGUCAGAUGUGAAAUCCCUGGGCUCAACCUGGGAACUGCAUUUGAGACUGCAUGGCUAGAGUAUCGAAGAGGGAAGUGGAAUUUCCGGUGUAGCGGUGAAAUGCGUUGAGAUCGGAAGGAACGCCCGUGGCGAAAGCGAGGUCCUGGACGUUUUCUGACGCUGAGACGCGAAAGCCAGGGGAGCGAACGGG
RNAcentral lists this ribosomal RNA (253 nucleotides) under uncultured bacterium. Its description in RNAcentral is "partial 16S ribosomal RNA". It matches the Rfam family "Bacterial small subunit ribosomal RNA", at positions 524 to 776 of the family's 1533-position model. The record is from RNAcentral.